This 1529-nucleotide long non-coding RNA is filed under the name Equus caballus (horse). RNAcentral's name for it is "lncRNA (ENSECAG00000056127.1)". The record is from RNAcentral. Lineage: Eukaryota; Metazoa; Chordata; Mammalia; Perissodactyla; Equidae.
CUGUAAAAUGUGGAUAAUCAUACCACCUUCCUCCAAGGGAAGAUCUUAGAACAGUGCCUGAUGUAUAGUAACUGCCAUCUAAAUGUUAAAAUUAUUGCAUGUGCACUUUGAUUUAUUUUUAAUUUGUGUCCCAUUCGCAGAGCUCCCACUUCAGUCUCUCGUUUGCAUUUCACACAGUGACCCUGCAAGGCAGUUUGCCCCGAAGCGGAGAGAAGUGAGCAAUAAAAGCUUAAUGCAGGCUUUCUAAGGACACUGUUGAGCAGAUCAGACCUGGUCCUGGCCCUCAGGGAGCUUACAGUCUGCCAGAGGACAAACAUAAUGAUCACUUCCAUAAAGGUGUGAUGGCAAACUUGAGUAACUGCUCCAAAGGAAAUUGCGUGGUGCUAGGACAUUAGAAUGGAGGCACUGACCACAUCUAGGGGUGAGUAGAGCCACCAGAAGAUGGAGACCUGAGGGACCAGUGGGAGUCUUGAGAAAAUAGCAGAAGGAGGGAAAGUUCCAGGCAGAGGGACCUGAGAGGUUGCCUUGUGGUAUAUGAAAAGAGAAGGUCAGGAAGUUUAAUCAUCCAAAGUUUGCCAGGCCUUGAGACUGACCCCUCAAGUUACCUGGGGGAUGGGAUUUAUUGUGUGGGUGAUGUUCAUAACAAACCAACAUUGAUUACAUGCAUAUUCUUGCUAAACAUUCUUAAAUGAAUUAAGCCAUAUUUAAUCCUUACAGCAGCCCUGGUGACUUGGUGGUCUUGUCCCUUAAAGGCAAGUGAUCACUACAACCUGUUCUCAUGGCUUCAUUUGGCUCAAAACAGCCUCUCUGACGCAGCUGCUUCUUUUGACACUGUAUCCUCCUCUGCCCACUCUCAUGUUCCUAUCCCCUAAGAAGAUAAGGUUGAGGCGGUUUCUUGCCAUCCAUUGGUAGGCCUGAGGGUGACUGCCUUUGGCUGAUCCCUAGGCUGGUCAGUUGUGGGCCAGAUUAGCAGAAUCCUGACCCAAAAUCCAGCCAUUUAUUUGUGAGGAGCCACUUGUGCCACAGUCAUCAGCCCAAAAUCCAGACACUUAUAUGUGAGGAGCCACUGAAGUGCCUGUCAGCUGUGGGCGCUUGGGGCCUCAUCGAUGGAGCCUUCUGUUGACAUGCCACGGUGAUUCAUAGACACCUGAUGAUCCAGUUGUGACCUGAGGUACCUGAAAUUGAGCCCCAUUUCUCACCUCCAUGACGAUAGGCAUCGUCCAGUGAGGGAGGUCCAUUUCAUAGUUCUUGGCAAGGAAGCAAUCCUCACAACAGAAAAGGCUUGAUGCACAGUGGUGUUCACUGCAGAGUAACUAAGUCAAAAAUCAAGCCUAAGUACCCACUAAUAGAGGAAUGAUCAACUCUGUGGAAUGGCCACUGUGAGCUCUUUGAAAGCAGUAGCAAUGCUGUUUACAAGGGUGAUGCAGACAGAGAAAUGGGCUUUAACUUGGGAGGCACGAUCAUGUAUAGAGGCAGUGUGUUUACAACUGGACCCUAAGCCUCCCUUGGGAACUGGAGCAAAACACUAG